ACGGGAGGCAGCAGUGGGGAAUAUUGCGCAAUGGGGGAAACCCUGAUGCAGCGACGCCGCGUGAGUGAAGAAGUUAUUCGUAAUGUAAAGCUCUAUCAGCAGGGAAGAAAAUGACGGUACCUGACUAAGAAGCCCCGGCUAACUACGUGCCAGCAGCCGCGGUAAUACGUAGGGGGCAAGCGUUAUCCGGAUUUACUGGGUGUAAAGGGAGCGUAGACGGUCUUGCAAGUCUGAUGUGAAAGGCAGGGGCUCACCUCCUGGACUGCAUUGGACACUGUAAGUCUUGAGUGCCGGAGAGGUAAGCGGAAUUCCUAGUGUAGCGGUGAAAUGCGUAGAUAUUAGGAGGAACACCAGUGGCGAAGGCGGCUUACUGGACGGUACCUGACGUUGAGGCUCGAAAGCGUGGGGAGCAAACAGGAUUAGAUACCCUGGUA
This 434-nucleotide ribosomal RNA is filed under the name uncultured Lachnospiraceae bacterium. RNAcentral describes it as "partial 16S ribosomal RNA". It matches the Rfam family "Bacterial small subunit ribosomal RNA", at positions 341 to 792 of the family's 1533-position model. Lineage: Bacteria; Bacillati; Bacillota; Clostridia; Lachnospirales; Lachnospiraceae. The record is from RNAcentral.